This 464-nucleotide ribosomal RNA is filed under the name uncultured bacterium. RNAcentral's name for it is "partial 16S ribosomal RNA". It matches the Rfam family "Bacterial small subunit ribosomal RNA", at positions 339 to 795 of the family's 1533-position model. The record is from RNAcentral.
CUACGGGCUGCUGCAGUGGGGAAUAUUGCACAAUGGGCGCAAGCCUGAUGCAGCCAUGCCGCGUGUAUGAAGAAGGCCUUCGGGUUGUAAAGUACUUUCAGCGGGGAGGAAGGGAGUAAAGUUAAUACCUUUGCUCAUUGACGUUACCCGCAGAAGAAGCACCGGCUAACUCCGUGCCAGCAGCCGCGGUAAUACGGAGGGUGCAAGCGUUAAUCGGAAUUACUGGGCGUAAAGCACACGCAGGCGGGUUGUUAAGUCAGAUGUGAAAUCCCCGGGCUCAACCUGGGAACUGCAUCUGAUACUGGCAAGCUUGAGUCUCGUAGAGGGGGGUAGAAUUCCAGGUGUAGCGGUGAAAUGCGUAGAGAUCUGGAGGAAUACCGGUGGCGAAGGCGGCCCCCUGGACGAAGACUGACGCUCAGGUGCGAAAGCGUGGGGAGCAAACAGGAUUAGAUACCCUAGUAGUC